This 3424-nucleotide long non-coding RNA is filed under the name Gallus gallus (chicken). The record is from RNAcentral. Lineage: Eukaryota; Metazoa; Chordata; Aves; Galliformes; Phasianidae.
CGCCAACGUCAGUCUGUACCAACUGACAGCACAAAGACCCACAUUGAUGUGUAUGGACUGACAGCACAGAGACGCCAACGUCAGUCUGUAUGGACUGACAGCACAAAGACCCACAUCGGUGUGUAUGGACUGAGAGCACAGAGACAGCAACAUCAGUCUGUAUUGACUAACGUAACACCAUGGUAACACCAACAUCAGUCUGUAUGGACUGACAGCACAGAGACCCACAUCGGUGUGUAUGGAAUGACAGCACAGAGACACUGAUGUCAGUCUGUAUGGACUGAUAGCACAGGGACCCACAUCGGCCUGUAUGGACUGACAGCACAGAGACAGCAACGUCAGUCUGUAUGGACUGACAUAACACCGUGGUAACACCGACAUCGGUCUGUAUGGAUUGACAGCACAGAGAUCAACAUUGCUCUGUAUGGACUGACAUAACAGCAUAACACCAACAUUGGAGUGUAUGGACUGACAGCACAGAGACACCGAUGUCAGUCUGUAUGGACUGAUAGCACAGAGAUCAACAGUGGUCUGUAUGGACUGACAUAACAGCAUGAUAACACCAACAUUGGUCUGUAUGGACUGACAGCACAGAGUCCCACAUUGCUCUGUAUGGACUGACUGCACAGAGACCCACUUCGGUGUCUAUGGACUGACAGCACAGAGACACCAACGUCGGUCUGUACUGACUGACUGCACAGAGACCCACAUUGGUGUAUAUGGACUGAUAGCACAGAGACCCACAUCGGUCUGUAUGGACUGACAGCACAGAGACACCGAUGUCAGUCUGUAUGGACUGACAGCACAGAGAUCAACAGUGGUCUGUAUGGACUGACAGCACAGGACCCACAUCGGCCUGUAUGGACUGACUGCACAGAGACAGCAACAUCGGUUUAUAUAGACUGACUGCACAGAGACCCACAUCGGUGUGUACAGACUGAUAGCACAGAGACACCAACGUCAGUCUGUAUUGGUGUGUAUGGACUGACAGCACAGAGACCCACAUUGGUGUGUAUGGACUGACAGCACAGAGACCAACAUUGCUCUGUAUGGACUGACUGCACAGAGAUCAACAGUGGUCUGUAUGGACUGACAGCACAGAGACCCACUUCGGUGUGUAUGGACUGAUAGCACAGAGACACCAAUGUCAGUCUGUAUGGACUGACAGCACAGAGACCAACAUUGUUCUGUAUGGACUGACUGCACAGAGACCCACAUCGGUCUGUAUGGACUGAUGUAACAGCAUGAUAACACCAACAUUGGCCUGUAUGGACUGACAGCACAGAGACACCGAUGUCAGUCUGUAUGGACUGACAGCACAGAGACCAACAGUGGUCUGUAUGAACUGACAUAACAGCAUGAUAACACCAACAUUGGUCUGUAUGGACUGACAGCACAGGGACACCAACGUUGGUCUGUACCCACUGAUAGAACACCAUAAUAACACCAACAUCAGUGUGUAUGGACUGACAGCACAGAGACCAACAUUGGUCUGUAUGGACUGAUAGCACAGAGACCAACAGUGGUCUGUAUGGACUGACAUAACAGCAUAACACCAACAUUGGAGUGUAUGGACUGACUGCACAGGGACCCACUUCGGCCUGUAUGGACUGACAGCACAGAGACAGCAACGUCGGUCUGUAUGGACUGACAGCACAGAGAUCAACAGUGGUCUGUAUGGACUGACUGCACAGAGACCCACAUCGGUGUGUACAGACUGAUAGCACAGAGACACCAACGUCAGUCUGUAUUGGUGUGUAUGGACUGACAGCACAGAGACCAGCAUUGGUGUGUAUGGACUGACAUAACAGUGUGAUAACACCAAUGUCAGUCUGUACCCACUGAUAUAACAUCAUAAUAACACCAACAUCAGUGUGUAUGGACUGAUAUAACGCUGUGAUAACACCAAUGUCAGUCUGUACCCACUGAUAUAACAUCAUAACACCAACAUCAGUGUGUAUGGACUGAUAUAACGCUGUGAUAACACCAAUGUCAGUCUGUGCCCAUUGAUAUAACACCGUGAUAACACCAACAUCAGUGUGUAUGGACUGAUAUAACGCUGUGAUAACACCAAUGUCAGUCUGUACCCACUGAUAUAACAUCAUAACACCAACAUCAGUGUGUAUGGACUGCUAUAAUGCUGUGAUAACACCAGUGUCAGUCUGUGCCCAUUGAUAUAACACCGUGAUAACACCAACAUCAGUGUGUAUGGACUGAUAUAACACCGUGAUACCACCAACGUCAGUCUGUAUGGACUGACAGCACAGAGACACCGACGUUGGUCUGUAAGGACUGACGUAACAGCAUGAAAGCACCAACAUCAGUCUGUUCUGACUGACAUAACACCACGAGGACACCAACAUCAGUCUGUUCCGACUGACACAACAGCAUGGCAGCACCAAUAUCGGCCUGUAUGGACUGCUGUAACACUGUGAUGGCCCCAAUGUCAGCCUGUUCUGACUGACAUAACACCGUGAUGACCCCAAUGUCAGCCUGUUCCGACUGACAUAACACCAUGAGGACCCCAAUGUCAGCCUGGUCCAACUGACACCCCAUGGCAGCACCAACACCAGGCUGUACUGACUGACAUAACACCAUGAGGACAGCAGCAUCAGGCUGUAUUGACUGACAUAACAGCAUGGCAGCACCAAUAUCGGCCUGUAUGGACUGUUGUAACACUGUGAUGGCCCCAAUGUCAGCCUGUACUGCCUGAUAUAACACCACGAUAACACUGACAUCAGCCUGUACUGCCUGAUAUAACACCAUAGCACUGACAUCAGCCUGUACUGCCUGAUAUAACACUGUGAUAACACUGACAUCAGCCUGUACUGCCUGAUAUAACACCGUGAUAACACUGACAUCAGCCUGUACUGCCUGAUAUAACACCGUGAUAACACUGACAUCAGCCUGUACUGCCUGAUAUAACACUGUGAUAACACUGACAUCAGCCUGUACUGCCUGAUAUAACACCAUAACACUGACAUCAGCCUGUACUGCCUGAUAUAACACCACCAUAACACUGACAUCAGCCUGUACUGCCUGAUAUAACACCGUGAUAACACUGACAUCAGCCUGUACUGCCUGAUAUAACACCAUGAUAACACUGACAUCAGCCUGUACUGCCUGAUAUAACACCAUAACACUGACAUCAGCCUGUACUGCCUGAUAUAACACCACGAUAACACUGACAUCAGCCUGUACUGCCUGAUAUAACACCACGAUAACACUGACAUCAGCCUGUACUGCCUGAUAUAACACUGUAUAACACUGACAUCAGCCUGUACUGCCUGAUAUAACACCAUGAUAACACUGACAUCAGCCUGUACUGCCUGAUAUAACACCAUAACACUGACAUCAGCCUGUACUGCCUGAUAUAACACCAUGAUAACACUGACAUCAGCCUGUACUGCCUGAUAUAACACUG